AUUAGAUACCCUGGUAGUCCACGCAGUAAACGAUGAAUACUAAUUGUCCGGGCAGAAUGGUGCCUGGGUGAUACAGCGAAAGCGUUAAGUAUUCCACCUGGGGAGUACGCCGGCAACGGUGAAACUCAAAGGAAUUGACGGGGGCCCGCACAAGCGGAGGAACAUGUGGUUUAAUUCGAUGAUACGCGAGGAACCUUACCCGGGCUCAAACGACACAGGAAUACUUUUGAAAGGAGGUAGCCAGCAAUGGUAUGUGUCGAGGUGCUGCAUGGUUGUCGUCAGCUCGUGCCGUGAGGUGUCGGCUUAAGUGCCAUAACGAGCGCAACCCCUACCGCCAGUUGCCAGCAGGUAAAGCUGGGGACUCUGGCGGGACUGCCGGCGCAAGCUGCGAGGAAGGCGGGGAUGACGUCAAAUCAGCACGGCCCUUACGUCCGGGGCGACACACGUGUUACAAUGGCAGGUACAGCGGGAAGCCACCUGGCGACAGGGCGCGGAACCCGAAAACCUGUCUCAGUUCGGACUGGAGUCUGCAACCCGACUCCAUGAAGCUGGAUUCGCUAGUAAUCGCGCAUCAGCCACGGCGCGGUGAAUACGUUCCCGGGCCUUGUACACACCGCCCGUCAAGCCAUGGAAGCCGGGAGUGCCUGAAGUGCGUGACCGCAAGGAGCGUCCUAAGGCAAUACCGGUGACUGGGGCUAAGUCGUAACAAGGUACC
This 715-nucleotide ribosomal RNA is filed under the name uncultured bacterium. Its description in RNAcentral is "bacterial SSU rRNA". It matches the Rfam family "Bacterial small subunit ribosomal RNA", at positions 777 to 1500 of the family's 1533-position model. The record is from RNAcentral.